AGAAAAAGAAUAGUACGUACGUGGAAAAAGAAAUUCUAGUGAGCCGAGCCCAAGUCCGAUCCUGAUUCUGCUCCUCAAUUAGACUAAUCAACCCGCCGCGGCAUCAUAUAUCAUCAUAUAUGUAUCGGAACCGCCUCUUCGAGUCUGCUCAGCUUCGUCGUCUUGGAUUGAUUUUCUGAUCGCCGGCUCGCGGCGGCGACUUGUUAGUUGAUUCGUCGAUCGCCUCCCUCUCCGGCCGGCCAGUUCUUUAUUUUAUAUAUACAGAUCUAGUAAAUAGAUCGGAUAAUAGUAAGAUGGCUUCUUCAUCAUCAGUGGAUUGCAUUGCAGCUCGCGGCGGAUCGGCGCCUGCGCAACACGGAGGAACGACGACGACGGUCAGCCUUCCAGAGGAUAUCUACACUCGCUGAUGCCGUUGCGAGAUGCUGCUCAGGCUGCCUGCGUAUCCCAUGCCUUUUUGCGUUUCUGGCGAUCCUAUGGCAGGCUCGACUUUGACAUUUACACACUAGGAUUACUGGAUGUAGGCCGCCGCCUGUUGUCGUUUGGUCCCAUUGACAAAGAAUUACCAGUUAUAGAGGAUCAACUGAGGAGGGGCGUCAUUGCAACAUUCGACGAGUACUUCGAAAAGAAUAGUCCUAUCAUAAAAGAAUUCUCUGCCAGAGUUGAUCACAUCAUGCAUAACCACGUCGGAACAGGUGUUCAGACAUUCAGGCUUGUACCUCCCCAUGGCUUCUACAUAAACCCUGCUGUUCUUGACCGCUGGUUCCAAGCUGUCAUCGCACAGGGGAUCAGUGAAUUUUACCUGUACCUAGACAUGGGCGAUGAGGGGCUAGGUUACAACU
Molecule: long non-coding RNA, 839 nt
Organism: Triticum aestivum (bread wheat)
Lineage: Eukaryota; Viridiplantae; Streptophyta; Magnoliopsida; Poales; Poaceae
Exons: 3
Source: RefSeq, a predicted model, not a curated record